UAGAUCCAAAUUAAUCGGCAU
Molecule: non-coding RNA, 21 nt
Filed under: Caenorhabditis elegans
Lineage: Eukaryota; Metazoa; Nematoda; Chromadorea; Rhabditida; Rhabditidae
Source: RNAcentral